UUGGAGGGCAAGUCUGGUGCCAGCAGCCGCGGUAAUUCCAGCUCCAAUAGCGUAUAUUAAAGUUGUUGCAGUUAAAAAGCUCGUAGUUGAACUUCGGGAUCAAUGGAUUGGUCAUGCCGUUGGUGUGUACUGGUCAUAUUGGUUCUCACCUUCUAAGGAACCAUAAUGUCAUUCAUUUGAUGUUUUGGGGAAUUAGGACUGUUACUUUGAAAAAAUUAGAGUGUUUAAAGCAGGCUAACGCUUGAAUACAUUAGCAUGGAAUAAUGAAAUAGGACAUCGCAUUCUAUUUUGUUGGUUUCUAGGAUCGAUGUAAUGAUUAAUAGGGAUAGUUGGGGGCAUUAGUAUUCAAUUGUCAGAGGUGAAAUUCUUGGAUUUAUUGAAGAUUAACUACUGCGAAAGCAUUUGCCAAGGAUGUUUUCAUUAAUCAAGAACGAAAGUUAGGGGAUCGAAGACGAUCAGAUACCGUCGUAGUCUUAACCAUAAACUAUGCCGACUAGGGAUCGGAUGAUGUUGAUUUUUUAAUGACUCAUUCGGCGCCUUACGGGAAAC
Molecule: ribosomal RNA, 549 nt
Filed under: uncultured Glomus
Lineage: Eukaryota; Fungi; Glomeromycota; Glomeromycetes; Glomerales; Glomeraceae
Description: SSU rRNA
Rfam family: Eukaryotic small subunit ribosomal RNA
Source: RNAcentral